GAGUCAAGGAAGGCACCUUCGCCGCCUGCUGCUUCCGCCUCUAGAGGCUCCAUCAACGACAUCUUCAUCUUCGAGAAGCUCGCCGCCGAGCUCACGCGCUACAGAAAGAAGCCCACCGUCACCUCCCGCAAGCUCCAGACCUCGGUGCGCCUCGUCCUCCCCGGGUGCUCGCCAAGCACGCCGUCACCGAGGGCACUGAGCUGAGGCUGUCAGUCGCUCCUCACCAGCUUCAGGUGCAUUGUGGAAACUGGAGAAUGGGUAAGAAGCUAUGAUCUAUCGACUGGCAUGAGCAGUUCUCUAGUGCUACUCUGGAGCUUCAAAUCCUGUCGUCUGUGGAUCAUGUUCCACCAGCUUGUUUGCUGGUUACUCUUCUGAUAUCAACUGCAUGGAGGCUUCUCUUUCUGGUUCCGUCUUCCAUUACUGGCAAACCACACUUAAGAAGACCAAAUAGCUUGCAAGGACUGUACCAUCAAUGGUGGACUACUGGACUUCAUCUGGUGUUUCAGUUGGAUCAUAUUGAGUAAACCCAGUGACGGGAUUUGAAUCUAUAAAACCUAUAUAGUUGAUCCCCACUAGAGAUUUCUCUCAACAUGCAAGCUUUCCACCUCAGCAGUGCACUAUCACAUGCAAUUAAAACCCACUACACUAGCAUUUUGUUAUCCACAUAAAAAUGUCAUGCAAUCCAUUAGCAUUAAUUUAUAAUAAUUUAUUCAUUUAUAAAAGUAAUUGGAAUAUAUAUAAUUACUUCAUUCAGCCACGUCAACAUGUGCAUCACUAUUGGGUUUCAUAAGGAUUUAUUACUAUUAUCUAUUCUCUGAAUCAGUGACAUCACCUUCAUUAUUGUAACCAUUCAAUCAACUUCGUGCACGUCUUAUAUCCAUUAAAUGCAUGUCUUAUUGGUUUCUUCUCUAACCAAAGAAUAACUCAAAAAUCUAUUAUUUUUCAUCCAAGAGAUUCCUCAUAUGGUUUUCAAUGUAAUCUCUACAAAUGCACCAAUUAUACAAGGUUUUCUUUAUUAAAAAAAAUCUAUCAUUUUUUGUUUUUUACAAAUUCAAUCUAAGUACUUAUUUGUCUUAUUACAUGCUCUCCAUAGCGUUUUAUUUAAAGAAUUAUUAAUUUUUAAUCAUAGUUUAUCGAAAAACUCCCUCAAAUACGGCAACAACGCGCGAGGAAUCACCUAGUAUUUAUAGAUUCCCAUGUCUCCUAGUGCGUUCAUUUGACCUCCAUAUAUUGCCUGCAUUGUUAUUGUAUUGACGAAAUUUCUGCGGUAACUUCGGUUUUGUUAGUUUCAAAGAUGAAAGUAUUAAGUGCAUGCAUAGAAUAUGUUAUAUGUGGUGAUAUGAAACUUUUAUUAGCUGCUAUUUGUCAUGAUUGACAUCUUCAUUUAGUUGUUGGAUGCAAUAUUUCUGGUGCUGGUGCAUGCAGUUGUGCCUUAUUUGAGUUGGUAGCUGUAGUGUGGCUAUGAGUCUGGUGAGCUUUGAGAACCGAGUUCUUACAGCGAAACCCAGCCUGUCUAAUCUUGAGAACGUGCAGUAAGGUGUAAGGUGUAAGCUGUAUAAUGUAAUGGUACGCCCUACUGCUGUUAAACAUUUCAUAUUUAAGGUAUCCACCUUUUAGGGCGUCAAGACCAUUAGAGUUCACUUCCUGUUAGGUCGGUAGUAGUAGUUUGGCAAUUUGGUGUUUGUCAGAGUUUGUUUUGAUAUGAGUUGUGAUGGUGCCUGUUGAACUAUUUUCACUCAUGGAUCUGAAAUAUUAACUGCUUUAUUCUACAUGUGUGCUGAGUAUUUUUCCUUAAUUCUAUUGUACUAUUUAGUGAAACUCAUUAGUGUUUUGUAAAAAUUAGUGCAUGAAGCUAAUUACCUUUUUUUUAAUGCAGAAUGGCCAUUGUUGUUGUGUUCUAUCGUGGAGCUUCAAAUAUAAUUCCUAGUUAUAUUUGUAACCUUUUGGGGAAGAUGCGGAAUACACCACAGAGGAAGCGUGAGGAAGCGUAUAUAUCCAGCAGUGGCCAUAUGGGCCUAGAGUAUAUGGGCCUUAACACCCCCCUUCAAACUCAAGGUGGAAGUGGAGGAUCUGAAGCAUUGAGUUUGAGCAAGUGAAGCCGGUGUUGCUCUUGAGUUUGUGCUUUAGUAAAGAAAUCUGCCACUUGCAAUUCUGAAGGCACGUACUGAAGAGCAAUUGUAUUUUGCUGACAAUGUGAUCGAGUAAAGAAGGCAUCAACACCAAUAUGUUUUUGAUCAUCUGCAGGCAUCUAGCCCAAUUUCAGCUCUUUAUUCAUCGUUGCACAAAUCACUACAGACUUGUUGCUACUCAUCUACGUUCCACCAUAUGAGAUCCGACAAACUUAAGAUGCAUUUGCCUGGAGGAUGAAACCCCUAAGUACAGCAAAAUGAAAUCCAGAUACAGCAAAAAUUGACUCAGCUGUACUGCUAUUCUGGAGCUUCAAAUUCUGAUAUCCAUGGAUCAUGUUCCGCCAGCUUGGGAUCAUAUUCCACCAGCUUGUUUGCUGGUUACUUUUCUGAAUGUCAACUGCAUAGAGGCUUCUCUCUCUUUCCACCUUCCAUUACUGGCACACUACACUUAAAAAAUCCAAAUAGCUUGCAAGCAAUGGUAGACUUCAUCUGGUGUGUCACUUGGAGCACAUUGAGUAAAACCAGUGACAGGGUUUGAAUAUCGCAAAAACCAUGUCUCACAGUGUAAUCGUUGUAUUGUAUUCACCUGGCUUGCCAGGUUGUCAUAUUUGAACUCCAGAUAUUGUCUGCUUUGUUAUUGUCUUAUUGACGAAAUUUCUCCGGUAACUUUGGUUUUGGUUUGUUCAAGAUGAAAGUUAAGCGGCUGCAUGGAAUAUUUAUAUGUGGUCAUAUGAAACUAUUAGCAGCUAUUUGUCAUGAUUGUUAGUUGUUGGAUGCACAAUUUUUGGUGCUGGUGCUUGCAGUUGUGCCUCAUUUGAGUUGGUAGCUGUACUGCUGUAGUGUUGCUGAGUCUGAUGAGGUUUGAGAUCUGAGUUCAUACAGAGGAACCUGGCCUAUCUAAUCUUGACAAUGUGCAGUAAGGCGUAAGCUAUAUAUGGUAAUGGUACGCCUGCUCCUCUUUAACAUUUCAUAUUUAAGCUACUCACUUUCGAGGGCCCCCAAGACCAUUAGAGUUCACUUCCUGUUAGGUCGGUAAUAGUAGUUUGGCAAUUGGGUGUUUGCCAGAGUUGGAUUUUGAGAUGAGUUGUGGUGGUGCCUCUUGAACUAUGUUUACUCAUGGAUCUGAAAUAUUAACUGCUUUAUUCUA
Panicum virgatum (switchgrass) is the source of this 3276-nucleotide long non-coding RNA. RefSeq lists it as uncharacterized. Lineage: Eukaryota; Viridiplantae; Streptophyta; Magnoliopsida; Poales; Poaceae. The transcript has 9 exons. The record is from RefSeq and is a predicted model, not a curated record.